GUGUCAUGAGACAGGCCGGAAAACAAUGGGAAGAGCAGCUAGAAAAAAGAUUAAAACUAACAGCAAACAAAAAUGUAAACCGCAACAGCAGCGGGAAGCCUGCCAAACUGUCAGUGGGGCCGCUGGACGAUCCAGGUGCCGAAGGAGCACUCAAGGAAGACAAGGCUGUGGUGGAGAAGCUCAAUGAAGUUUUUGCAAUGGGCCCCCGGGGCGAUCUUGGCGAUUACAGGCCGAAUGUCGUUGGCUGCUUAUUGUGUAUUUUGCUGCAGAAGAAUAGGAACUUCUAGUCCAAUCACAAAAAGUGAUCUGCCGUGGAAAGAUAUCAGAAAAAUUUCAAAAUUAACUGGAUCACUUAUUCUUGGAGGUUUCGUAUUUAUUACAUAUGAAGUUCUGGCCCUAAAGAAGUUACUGACACUUGAUACUCACGUUGUACAGCAAGAGAAACUGAAGUCCUAUAUUUAUGUACAUACAGUUUCUUUAGAUCCCAGUGAAUGUCAAGGAAUCCUAUACAAGGCAAGAAAAGAACUUCAUAAAGUAGUGAGGAAAAUACUAGAAACAGAAGCUAAAAUUCUCCGGAGACCUUUUGAUGAACAUUUUAGUACAUUUACAGAAGAUCAUGAACGUGCCUUGUGGGUCCUCUUGAAGAGAAGUCAAUCAGAAGACAGAACCAUUCGACUGCAGGCGGUGCAGCAGCUGGCAGAGAAUGGUCACUGGCAUGAUUAUCAAUAUAGGAUGGUUGCCCAAGCCUGUGAUCAGAAGACUCUGAUUGGUUUGGCCCGAUCCAAGGAUAUUGAUCUUCGUUUUUUUCUGCCACCACCUCACUUACCAAAAGUAAAAGAUGUCCCAAACGAUUUCUCAAUUUGGAAUGAAUUAGUCCAAAGGAAGAAAACAUUCUUUCUACGCCCGCAGAAGAAGCUACUGCAGUUAAAAGAUUAUGCUAUAGAAGAUGAGCUCCGAUUGUUAUUGGUAUCUUUACCUCAGACUGAUCUUGAGCAGUGUGUCCAGUACUUCACAUCUCUGGCUUUAAGAGAAAGCAGUCAGACUCUAGCUGCAAAAAGGGGGGGCUUGUGGUGUUUUGGAGGAAAUGGGCUUCCUUAUUGCGAGACUUUGAGUAAAGUCCCUUCAGAGACAGUAGAACUCUUCUGUUUACAAGCUUUAGUGCAACAUUCCAAGGUUUCUACUCAUUGUGAUAAAAUUGAAGCAAAUGGAGGCCUGCAGCUACUACAGAGAAUAUACCGGCUUCGUAACGAUUCUGCGAAAAUACAAAGGAACAUAAUUCGCAUCAUUGGCAAUAUGGCUUUGGAUGAACGUCUUCAUUCAUCCAUAGUACAUGCAGGUUGGGUUUCCAUACUAGCUGAAGCAAUGAAGUCUCCUCAUGUCAUUCAGUCUUCACAUGCAUCCAGAGCCCUGGCUAAUCUGGACAGAGAGACAGUGCAGGAAAAAUAUCCAGAUGGCGUAUAUGUUUUACAUCCACAGUACCGUAGCAGUCAGCCCAUUAAAGCAGACGUCCUUUUUAUUCAUGGUCUUUUGGGAGCAGCAUUUAAAACCUGGCGACAACAAGACAUUAAUCAGCCUUUGGAUGUAAAGGCUUCUGAAGGGGAAGAGAUUUACAGUGAAUGCUGGCCAAAGACAUGGCUAGCCUCAGACUGUCCUUCGCUUAGAAUUGUAUCUGUGGAGUAUGACACCCACCUGAGUGACUGGAAAACAAAGUGCCCUAUUGAGGACCACAGGAAAUCUAUUGCUUAUAGGAGCAAUGAGCUUCUUAACAAGCUUAGAGCUGCUGGUGUUGGAGACAGACCUCUGGUAUGGGUAUCACACAGCAUGGGGGGUCUUCUAGUUAAAAAGAUGUUGGUGGAUGCUUCCAAGAACCCAGAAAUGGAUAAAAUUGUAAACAACACCCGAGGAAUCGUAUUUUACAGUGUACCUCACCAUGGCUCCCAGCUGGCUGAAUACUCAAUGAACGCUAAAUAUCUUCUCUUUCCUUCUGUGGAGGUUAAGGAACUCAGCACAGAUUCUCCUGCCCUUAAAGAACUGAAUGAUGACUUUCUUUCAUUUGCCAAGGAUAAGAAAUUUCCAGUCUUGAGUUUUGCAGAAACCUUACCAACGCAUAUAGGUAGCAUGGUAAAACUUCAUGUGGUACCUGUGGACUCAGCAAAUUUAGGCAUAGGAGACCUAAUUCCAGUGGAGGUUAAUCAUCUGAAUAUUUGCAAGCCAAAGAAAAAAGAUACUUUCCUAUACCAAUGUACUGUAAAGUUUAUUCAAGAUGCUUUAGCAAGAGAACUGGGAAGUUGAGUCUUGACCAUCCUUGCUUGCUUCUCUCUCAGAGUGUAAUGCAACAGAGUCUUUCCACUGAAACUGUUGGCAGGCCUCCAGAACUACAGACACAAUAUUAAUAAUAAAAUCAGCUGUCCAAGUGGCUUUCAAUACAUCUUCUACUUGGAAAUCUACAUUGUCUAUAUCUGAAAUGCAUUCAAAAUAUAUACAAACUCAACCACAGACCCAGAAAUCUGGCAAUAAAAGUGACCAAUCUCAUGUGGCUGUGCACCUCCAGGAAGUUUGGGCUCUGUGCACUAUAGAGAAAGGAUCUCUACGGUUUCAAGGCUGGGUUUUUACUUCUGCUACUUUCUGAUCCCAAGCCGAAGGGAGGGCUGAGACCUAUACUGGACCUUCAUUCGCGCAACAAAUUCAUCAAGCAAGAUUCUGUGUGGUUAUCGUAGUGUUGAUCCUCCCCUCCCUAGAUCAUAAGGUUGGUUUGUUGCCCUUGAUUUUUUGGAUGCAUACUUCCAUGUGGUAGUGCUCCCCAGCCACAGGAAAUUCCUUAGUUUUGUCAUAGGGGGCUGCCAUUAUUAGUAUAUGGUUCUCCUCUUUGGCUGCUCAACAGCUCCUCAUGUGCUCACUAAAUGUGUGGCAGUGGUGGCAGCCUGUAUAAGGAAGAAUGGGGUCCAUGUUUUCCCUUACCUCGAUGACUGGCUUGUUCGGGGAUCAUCUGAGAACCCGGUUAGUUGCCACGUCAAGUUCAUCAUCCACCUUUUCAAUCAACCCGUUCUUUCUCCUUGAUUUGUUUUGCUAGAAUAGUAUAUGCCGUCACUGACUGUAUGAAGCCUGUUUGCUGGAGGGAUUCUCAUUUUAAUGCACAGGUCACCCCUCGCUUCCGCAGAAAAAAGAUAUAGUUAGUGCUGAAGGCCACUUAGUAAAGUGGAGUAAUUAAACAAGUUGUAGUUGACAUGUAUAAAUCCACUUCAACUGGCUUUCCUGCUAACUCUUUCAUUAACGUAAAUUAGCUGUCCCAGGGCUGUUCAAUUCUUUGUUGCACGGAAUGUUGGAUACGGUACUAAACGUAUUUUAUUUUUUACAGCCCUUAAUGAUUUAUGGGGAACUAUGUCCAUAAAUAGCCACUGUUGCUUUUCUUUUUUUAAAGGAGGCCAGGGGGUUGUGAUGGGCCAGGGAACUAACUAGCCAGCCUCUUUCAGAGUGGCUCACCUUUGUGGAACUGAGCACUUCAAAACUAUCUCUAGCCUCUCUACUACUAAAGAAAUGUGCAUGGAGCAGGAGAGCGAAGAGCUUAGAUCUACGGGCAGCAUUACUUUUAUACAGACUGUCUUUUUUUGCUUAGAAUUCAGCAGUAGAGAUGAGACGGCUUGAGCGAGGUUGGAUAGUAAUAGAACUGAACUUGGCCGAUGUCCCAAAUAACCUAGGCAACUGAGAAGAGAAUUAAGCCAAUUAAAGGUUUGUAGAAAAGACAUUUAAUUGACAUUAUUUACAAUUUAAGCACAAAAAAGGUCUAGUUUAAAUACAAGACCCUGGAUUUUCCCCAAUUGCUUAAAAAUGUUAGCAUCAUUUUAGUAAUUAUCUAUCCAAAAAGGGGCUUCAUUCCAUUUAUAAGUUAUUGAGCCUGAACUGAAACAUGCGUGUAAUAACUUUUAAUUGCCUGCUUUCCAUAGACCGUGUAAAUGCUUCACAAAUUUAGCACAGGUAAUGUGUAGCUAGCGCACACUAAAAAGCCUCAUUUGAAAUCAAGGCUAUCUUCCCUUUAGCUAAAUCUUGGGUUGAGAAGCAUAAAUGCUAAAGUGGUUGGCAAAUGCAGACGUGACUUUGCAAUGAUGACAUCAGUUGUAGCAUUUUGUGAGACCUGCAUGUUAACUGCACUGUAGUUCCACUAGAAACAUUGGUCCUGUAGCUUAUGAUGCCCUGCCAGAGCGCUACCUAAAUAUAAGGAGGAAAGUAAAGCAGCAGUUGCAGGACUAUUUAUUUGAAGAGUAUCCAGGGAAAGUCCCUGUUCAAGAUGCUUUCCCCAGACUAUUAUUUCUGAAACAUGGACCAUGAUAUUGUAUCUUUAGGCAUUAAACCCUUCAAGUGUUUGCAAAGACUUGUACAGAAUAAGCUAAAGUUGAGUGCAUUUUAGUUACCCUAAUCUCAGAUGCACUGUUGGUAUAGCUGCAGCCCAGUCAUACUGCUCUGUGCUGUUACACAGCAUCCAUCACUGUCAUACCAGUAUUUUCCUUCAGAGUUGAUCCUAACAAGCAGAGGACCAUGGCAAAUUCUGUAUUUAGUUUGACAAAACUCUUUCAUGCUCAUGGAAUUAGUUAGUUUUACAGCCUGUCUUUUAUAAAACAGUUGCAUAUAAGUAAUAGCAUUUUCUUAAAGGCUUUUUUGCUACCCCCAUCCUCUCCCUCCCACUGAAAUCUUGAUGUCCUUUAAUUCUACUCAUUGCUUCAGUAAUCUGCCAUUAUCUGGGGAGACAAGUCUGCACAGAACAUUCCACUUCUAAGUUUGCUCCUUGCCUUAUUUUCUGGUUUCCUCUCACUUCCCCGUUAAUAGCUCCCUUAAAUAAAAAGUUAACCGUCUCCCUUUACCAUUUUCUUCAUGGAAUAUAAUUCUUGACAAAUGGUACUGUCACACUGUUUCUCAGAUAUAGCUGUCCCCCUGCUGUAGGUGCUACAGGUUCAUUUCCAAAUGGCAUAUAGUGCUUUAAUUGCCUUACAUCUGCUAAACUGGUAACAAGUGUCCAGCACAGGUGAAUAAGGAAGGUGUGUGUGUGUGUGAGGUACACUCUCCAGGGGCCAGCACACACCUUUAUCAUCAGUGGGCAGAAAUUAGUAAACCAGCUUUCCACUCUAGGGCUAGAUUCUGCUACCCUUGCUCAUGCUGAGUCCUGCCGGACCAGUGUAGCAUUCAUGUAAGUGUAUAGACAGCCUUUGCUCAUCUGCAUUUAUUAUUUCAUUAGUAGCUAAGCAUGAACAUGUUAUUUCCUUGCAAAGAAACUGAGGGGAGCAAAGGUGAGAGUAGUGGUCAAACAUCGUGUGUACGUCCACAGGAGUCGAUCAUGACUAUACAUACAGUACACAGACAAUUGGAAUGUUUACUAGCAGGUUGCCUGCGCUGUCCCUUCCAAAGUUAUAGACAGUCGUCAUCCAUGUGCCUUUUAACGGGAUAGCAAGUCAUUUAGCAUUAGGUUGCGUUGACCAGAACAGAAUCAGUUAAAUCUGAACGUAAAGGAGAGGAUGCAUUGAAAGAAAACAUGAGUUUCUAGAAUAAUUUUUGUAAGUGUAUCGUUAUUAGUAUCACACACGCUGAUAAGGGGCCCAUCAUAAUAUCAGUGUGCAGUUGCAUGAUUGAGAUUAAAAACAAGCAUGUUCAACAAAAUAGAGAGCACCUAAUCCAUAACGUCCUCCAUCCCUCUUACUUAACAAUGGCCAAGGACUGAGGAAUUUAGACUCCAGGCUAAUACCAGGAGAUUACAGAACCUGCAGCUAGUUGUAAAUCAAAUGAAAGAGAUGCAGCAUAGGAGUUGUCUACAGCAUAUUUACCAGCAGAAUUAUAAUGGUGUAAUGAUACUGCUAAAGUUAUUCCAGGAUAAUUCCCCUUGGGAACACUAUUCCCUCAGAAUUAGUGUAGUAAUAUAAUUAUACUGCUGUAGUUCUGCUGGUAAAUUUUACCAUGUAGACAAGUCUUUAUUUUAAAUGUUAAAAACUGUUUGAAAUAUAAAUUAUACCUAUAACCUUUGUUCUUGUUUUCUUCAUACAUCAUUACAUACUUUUAAAGAAUACUCUGUACCUGAAAUAUCAUUUUACUUUUCAGCUGGAUUAGAAAAAGGGAAAAAAUUUAGACUAAAGAUUUUUUUUUCGCAAGUUGUACAGUACUGAUGUCUUGUAUUUUGCCCCCAGAUCAUACCAGAAUUUUUUUAAACACAAAAAUAAAAUGUGGCCUUGCCACACUUAUACAACUCUGUAUUCAAAGCAGAUUUUUAUCUUGUAUCGUAAUUAGAUUUCUAUAGGGGAAAAAAGAAAAAAUAAAGGAAAAAAAUAUCUCACGACUCUAAGUUAGCAUUUCUGUCCAUCCAGGUAUUUUUGUUUUCCUCUAAGACCAGCAGUUUGCUGACUCCCUCUGAUAAUGUACCAUUGUCUUCAUCAUCACUAAAUGUAACCCAGUGACUGAAAUCUUUUGGGCUGGGGAGUUUCAAAUUUCUCGGAGUGUGUGUUGGGCUAGUUGUUGCUGGUGUGGAAAAAGGAAAGGAAACAUCUGUGUCCAGGUCCAAGAGACUGACGCUCUCUGUUAGUGAAUUGGUGGCUAACAGCUGUGGCUGCUGGAUGUCUGGGGUAGGAGGGCCUUGAAGGUCAGCAAAAAAGUCCAAAGCAGUUGGUGUCAAGUGCUUAGUGCCACUGCUGUCUGGGCUGGCAGUGGAUGUUGGAGCUGAAAGAUCAGAGUCUCCGGGAGAAAGGGGGAGGAUGUCAGAAUCCUGUGUUGUAGGGUUGUACUCAGAAGGACUAUUGUUGUUGUUGGAAUUGAAUGUUAAGCCACUAAGAAGCAGACUGUUACUGCUCUGAAGCACCUGCUGGUGAAGGGCAGCAGGAGCAGACUUCUUCCUUCGUGGUGGAACCUUUGGGGCAAAGGAGUUCUGCAGGGCCACCGCACUUUCCUCUGAAAUGCCUGGGCUGGGCGGCUGCCUAUCGCUGCUGCUUCUUCUCUCAGGAGCUUUCCCGGGUGGCGUUGUUCUCGGCUUAGGAAUGGGGGUGAUCCUAUUGGGACUGGUAAUGGCUUUGGUUUCAAGGCAGGACUCGGACAAUCCAAUGUGAAAGCGGAUGGGCUGCUGGUCAAGCUGCUCUUCCAGACACACAGACAGAGAGAGGGAAACAAAAGGAAUACGAGUCAGAGCGGUGUUUUAGAUUCAGACUCGGCCGCUGCACUAGCUCUGCCCAUCCAGAUGGGAAAACGCUCAAACAAUAGGUGGGAUAAAGAGGGUGUGAAUUGUGUUGGGUGCAUUAUUGAAAGAAGUUGGUGGAAUCACUGAAUGAGAUGAGGAAGUGGAAAGUGAAGGCAUGAGAGUAACAGCUUUAAAUCAGCCCUGCCCUUCACUCCCUGUGUUAAAAA
Molecule: RNA transcript, 7368 nt
Organism: Chelonia mydas (Green sea turtle)
Lineage: Eukaryota; Metazoa; Chordata; Testudines; Cheloniidae
Gene: SERAC1
Gene name: serine active site containing 1
Exons: 19
Source: RefSeq, a predicted model, not a curated record